UGACAGCUCGGGAGGUCGCCUAAGUGCGCGCUCUCGGACGUCCAGCCUCGUCCGGGUGGUACAUCUGAUGAAACUGCCUGAUGAAGGGGGAUAACUACUGUCAAACGGACGUUAAUAGCGCUUAACGUCGGUUGACCGAAGUGGGGGACCUUCGGGCCUCAUGUUAUCAGAUGUGCCCAGACGUCCGCCGCUCGUGGUGGGGUAACGGCUCUCUAGGCGACGAUCCCUAGCUGUGUGUUAAGGAUGACCGCCCACGUUGGAACUGAGCCAGGAUCAAACUCUAUACGGGAGGCAGCAGUGGGGAAUAUUGCACAAUGGGCGCAAGCCUGAUGCAGCCAUGCCGCGUGUGUGAAGAAGGCCUUCGGGUUGUAAAGCACUUUCAGCGGGGAGGAAGGCGGUGAGGUUAAUAACCUCAUCGAUUGACGUUACCCGCAGAAGAAGCACCGGCUAACUCCGUGCCAGCAGCCGCGGUAAUACGGAGGGUGCAAGCGUUAAUCGGAAUUACUGGGCGUAAAGCGCACGCAGGCGGUCUGUCAAGUCGGAUGUGAAAUCCCCGGGCUCAACCUGGGAACUGCAUUCGAAACUGGCAGGCUAGAGUCUUGUAGAGGGGGGUAGAAUUCCAGGUGUAGCGGUGAAAUGCGUAGAGAUCUGGAGGAAUACCGGUGGCGAAGGCGGCCCUCCUGGACAAAGACUGACGCUCAGGUGCGAAAGCGUGGGGAGCAAACAGGGAUUAGAUACCCUGGUAGUCCCACGCUGUAAAACGAUGUCGAUUUGGAAGG
This 779-nucleotide ribosomal RNA is filed under the name Klebsiella sp. E5. Its description in RNAcentral is "bacterial SSU rRNA". It matches the Rfam family "Bacterial small subunit ribosomal RNA", at positions 56 to 824 of the family's 1533-position model. Lineage: Bacteria; Pseudomonadati; Pseudomonadota; Gammaproteobacteria; Enterobacterales; Enterobacteriaceae. The record is from RNAcentral.